Molecule: long non-coding RNA, 683 nt
Organism: Mangifera indica (mango)
Lineage: Eukaryota; Viridiplantae; Streptophyta; Magnoliopsida; Sapindales; Anacardiaceae
Exons: 4
Source: RefSeq, a predicted model, not a curated record
UGUUGAGGAGAAACCUAUGUAAACUUUUAUAUUUGAGGGGUAUAAUUUUUCUAGCUUCUUGGGAAGAUUGAGGGGUUACUUUGAUGGUCCUCUUGUCAUGUUUAUGAUUUAUCGAAUUCUUUAUUUUUUCAAAAAAAUAAAUAAAUAAAAGAGUAAGACUCAAAUAUGGUCUUGUACACAACAAUUGAAAAAUACGAUGUGAUCUAAAAUACACAUUGAUGAAACAUGUUUAAAAUGCUGAAAUAGGUGAAAUAUUUGCCAACUAUAAAAGCCUCGAUAUACUUAUCUCUCAACAACCAGAAACACCUACAAUCAAACUCUUAGAAAGUUUAAUAAGGAUGGACACGUGUGGAGCAAAAAGAUGGAAAGACUAUUGAGGAAUCUCAUGGCAACCUCAAGGCCCAAAGAAGAGAAACCCUGAAGAAAUCCAGAUGCAGCAAAGGGAGAAAAUGGACCUGGGAUGUACAUGUCGGUGGCUCUAAAUUAUGACACACAACCUAAGACUGGGAUGGAAAUAGGGGCGGUUAAGAGAAUUAAAAUCGGAGUGGGAGAGCAUUGCUGUGUAGAAAGAAUCAUGUAGAAAAAUUUGUAUUGAGAGUUUAUUUUUGUGGGGAGUACUGGCCUCUCAUAUUAGCCAGCUUGGUAUUUUCAUCUUCAUAUUGGAGUGUGUUUUUUCUUAAGCA